Non-coding RNA from Triticum aestivum (bread wheat), 202 nucleotides. Lineage: Eukaryota; Viridiplantae; Streptophyta; Magnoliopsida; Poales; Poaceae. The record is from Rfam.
AUAUCUUUCAUGGCCUUUUGGCUAAGAUCAAGUGUAGUAUAUGUUCUUAUCAGUUUAAUAUCUGAUAUGUCAAUUUUUAUGUCCAUGUGAUAUUAAAUUAAUUUUUUUUUGAAGAUGAUUAGCUUAUGUAGCUUGCUACAUGGGUCAUAGUGUAUCGCCCUAGCAUUGCACUAAAAAAGCUAAGUUUUUCUUUAAAACUAAA